RNAcentral lists this ribosomal RNA (253 nucleotides) under uncultured bacterium. RNAcentral's name for it is "partial 16S ribosomal RNA". It matches the Rfam family "Bacterial small subunit ribosomal RNA", at positions 524 to 776 of the family's 1533-position model. The record is from RNAcentral.
UACGUAGGGGGCAAGCGUUGUCCGGAAUCAUUGGGCGUAAAGCGCGUGUAGGCGGCCCGGUAAGUCCGCUGUGAAAGUCGGGGGCUCAACCCUCGGAUGCCGGUGGAUACUGUCGGGCUAGAGUGCGGGAGAGGCGAGUGGAAUUCCUGGUGUAGCGGUGAAAUGCGCAGAUAUCAGGAGGAACACCAAUUGCGAAGGCAGCUCGCUGGAACGUUACUGACGCCGAGACGCGAAAGCGUGGGGAUCAAACAGG